This 484-nucleotide ribosomal RNA is filed under the name uncultured bacterium. RNAcentral describes it as "partial 16S ribosomal RNA". It matches the Rfam family "Bacterial small subunit ribosomal RNA", at positions 28 to 523 of the family's 1533-position model. The record is from RNAcentral.
GACGAACGCUGGCGGCGUGCUUAACACAUGCAAGUCGAACGAUGAAGCUAGAGCUUGCUCUGGUGAAUUAGUGGCGAACGGGUGAGUAACACGUGAGUAACCUGCCCCGAACUCUGGGAUAACUGCUGGAAACGGUAGCUAAUACUGGAUACGACCUACGAAGGCAUCUUCUGUAGGUGGAAAGAAUUUCGGUUCGGGAUGGACUCGCGGCCUAUCAGCUUGUUGGUGAGGUAAUGGCUCACCAAGGCGAAGACGGGUAGCCGGCCUGGGAGGGUGACCGGCCACACUGGGACUGAGACACGGCCCAGACUCCUACGGGAGGCAGCAGUGGGGAAUAUUGCACAAUGGGCGCAAGCCUGAUGCAGCAACGCCGCGUGAGGGAUGACGGCCUUCGGGUUGUAAACCUCUUUUAGUAGGGAAGAAGCGAAAGUGACGGUACCUGCAGAAAAAGCACCGGCUAACUACGUGCCAGCCGCCGCAGUAA